GCAAACUUGGUCAUUUAGAGGAAGUAAAAGUCGUAACAAGGUAACCGUAGGUGAACCUGCGGUUGGAUCAUUAACGAAUGUGAUGCUGCAGAUGCAUGCUGGGUGUGUGCGUACCGGGCAGUUUUAUGCUGCACGGCGGCGCACGCACCCGCUGCUCUGUGCUUUUUCACCUUUUGUGAACCGUUUAACAACACUAUUAACGUUUCUACGAUUGCACACGCAAUCUGGAUCUGUCAUUUGAUCUAGUCUGAAUAAAGUUUUACACGUUUACAACACUAAACGAAAACAACUUUUGGCAACGGAUCUCUUGGCUCUCGCAUCGAUGAAGAACGCAGC
RNAcentral lists this unclassified non-coding RNA (336 nucleotides) under uncultured fungus. Its description in RNAcentral is "partial contains small subunit ribosomal RNA, internal transcribed spacer 1, and 5.8S ribosomal RNA". The stretch from base 1 to 73 matches the Rfam family "Eukaryotic small subunit ribosomal RNA", at positions 1759 to 1831 of the family's 1831-position model. Lineage: Eukaryota; Fungi. The record is from RNAcentral.